UGCAAGUCGUACGCUUCUUUUUCCACCGGAGCUUGCUCCACCGGAAAAAGAAGAGUGGCGAACGGGUGAGUAACACGUGGGUAACCUGCCCAUCAGAAGGGGAUAACACUUGGAAACAGGUGCUAAUACCGUAUAACAAUCGAAACCGCAUGGUUUUGAUUUGAAAGGCGCUUUCGGGUGUCGCUGAUGGAUGGACCCGCGGUGCAUUAGCUAGUUGGUGAGGUAACGGCUCACCAAGGCCACGAUGCAUAGCCGACCUGAGAGGGUGAUCGGCCACAUUGGGACUGAGACACGGCCCAAACUCCUACGGGAGGCAGCAGUAGGGAAUCUUCGGCAAUGGACGAAAGUCUGACCGAGCAACGCCGCGUGAGUGAAGAAGGUUUUCGGAUCGUAAAACUCUGUUGUUAGAGAAGAACAAGGAUGAGAGUAACUGUUCAUCCCUUGACGGUAUCUAACCAGAAAGCCACGGCUAACUACGUGCCAGCAGCCGCGGUAAUACGUAGGUGGCAAGCGUUGUCCGGAUUUAUUGGGCGUAAAGCGAGCGCAGGCGGUUUCUUAAGUCUGAUGUGAAAGCCCCCGGCUCAACCGGGGAGGGUCAUUGGAAACUGGGAGACUUGAGUGCAGAAGAGGAGAGUGGAAUUCCAUGUGUAGCGGUGAAAUGCGUAGAUAUAUGGAGGAACACCAGUGGCGAAGGCGGCUCUCUGGUCUGUAACUGACGCUGAGGCUCGAAAGCGUGGGGAGCAAACAGGAUUAGAUACCCUGGUAGUCCACGCCGUAAACGAUGAGUGCUAAGUGUUGGAGGGUUUCCGCCCUUCAGUGCUGCAGCUAACGCAUUAAGCACUCCGCCUGGGGAGUACGACCGCAAGGUUGAAACUCAAAGGAAUUGACGGGGGCCCGCACAAGCGGUGGAGCAUGUGGUUUAAUUCGAAGCAACGCGAAGAACCUUACCAGGUCUUGACAUCCUUUGACCACUCUAGAGAUAGAGCUUCCCCUUCGGGGGCAAAGUGACAGGUGGUGCAUGGUUGUCGUCAGCUCGUGUCGUGAGAUGUUGGGUUAAGUCCCGCAACGAGCGCAACCCUUAUUGUUAGUUGCCAUCAUUUAGUUGGGCACUCUAGCAAGACUGCCGGUGACAAACCGGAGGAAGGUGGGGAUGACGUCAAAUCAUCAUGCCCCUUAUGACCUGGGCUACACACGUGCUACAAUGGGAAGUACAACGAGUCGCGAAGUCGCGAGGCUAAGCUAAUCUCUUAAAGCUUCUCUCAGUUCGGAUUGUAGGCUGCAACUCGCCUACAUGAAGCCGGAAUCGCUAGUAAUCGCGGAUCAGCACGCCGCGGUGAAUACGUUCCCGGGCCUUGUACACACCGCCCGUCACACCACGAGAGUUUGUAACACCCGAAGUCGGUGAGGUAACCUUUUGG
Molecule: ribosomal RNA, 1418 nt
Filed under: Enterococcus durans
Lineage: Bacteria; Bacillati; Bacillota; Bacilli; Lactobacillales; Enterococcaceae
Description: bacterial SSU rRNA
Rfam family: Bacterial small subunit ribosomal RNA
Source: RNAcentral